Amaranthus tricolor (Joseph's coat) is the source of this 945-nucleotide long non-coding RNA. RefSeq lists it as uncharacterized. Lineage: Eukaryota; Viridiplantae; Streptophyta; Magnoliopsida; Caryophyllales; Amaranthaceae. The record is from RefSeq and is a predicted model, not a curated record. The transcript has 4 exons.
AUAACUAAUUAUUAUUUGAUAUAAGAAUAAACAAAAAAUUAAAUUAAGAUUAAAAAUUGCUAAUGAUGACAUCGAAAAAAAAAAAGCUAGUGAUGCAGUUAGAUCACUAUCACUAAUCACGUGGUUCAAACUCUAACAUUAACAUUAUGCUGCCUUUCUCUUCCCUAAUUCAAUAGUACUGCCUAGAUUGCCUACUCACCGGUCACCACCGUAGAACGUAGUCUGCUCCGGUCAGCGGUCACCGUUCGCCUCUCACCAUCGCCAAUCUCUGCGCCUCUGUUACUUCCUCUUCAUCUGCUACUUCCUACUCGCCUACUGCUCUUGUGACUGAUGAGGCUUUCACCUUUGUGAAGUUUAAAGCUGAAGAAACGAUGUAGCAUAAUUUGCAAAGGUUCCGGUGCUCCAAAAUCAUGAGAGCUCACACAUGUUCACAACAAAUCUGGGGGCUCGUGUUUGUUGUAACUGGAUUAACUUAUUUUGGAGCAUUCUUUUAUGCUGCUGUUAUUUCAAAGCUCGUGGCACCAUCAGAUAAUCCUCUCAUAUCAGCUAUACAACAAGACAGAUAUUAUUGCUUCUUGGUCCCAUUAUCACUGCCCAUAUUAGUUGUUGCUGUAUACUUUCAUUGGCUCAGCAUGAAACUCUUCAAGCAUGCAUGAUUACUUACCAUCUGCACGACUGCAUGUAAAUUCAAAUCAGCAUCGUGUUAUGUCAUCAUCAACAUCCAAACAAAGAAGAUCACAGCAUACAAACACCGGUAAAUCUGUGCUCCUCUUUAACAUUCUGUCAUUACUGAAAAUUACAACUCUAUUACUGCACAAGAAACUUGUAUUAUUAUGAAAGGUUCAAGUAUCCAGUAAGCAGAGCUAUAAAGGUCUGAUGGUUAAAGAUACUAGCAGGCCUGAAACCUGUAUUAGACAGUAAGAGGAGAGAUUUCAAUUUUGAACA